GACGAACGCUGGCGGCGUGCUUAACACAUGCAAGUCGAACGGAAAGGCCCUGCUUUUGUGGGGUUCUCGAGUGGCGAACGGGUGAGUAACACGUGAGUAACCUGCCCUUGACUUUGGGAUAACUUCAGGAAACUGGGGCUAAUACCGGAGAGGAGCUCCUGCUGCAUGGUGGGGGUUGGAAAGUUUCGGCGGUUGGGGAUGGACUCGCGGCUUAUCAGCUUGUUGGUGUGGUAGUGGCUUACCAAGGCUUUGACGGGUAGCCGGCCUGAGAGGGUGACCGGCCACAUUGGGACUGAGAUACGGCCCAGACUCCUACGGGAGGCAGCAGUGGGGAAUAUUGCACAAUGGGCGGAAGCCUGAUGCAGCAACGCCGCGUGCGGGAUGACGGCCUUCGGGUUGUAAACCGCUUUCGCCUGUGACGAAGCGUGAGUGACGGUAAUGGGUAAAGAAGCACCGGCUAACUACGUG
This 468-nucleotide ribosomal RNA is filed under the name uncultured bacterium. RNAcentral describes it as "partial 16S ribosomal RNA". It matches the Rfam family "Bacterial small subunit ribosomal RNA", at positions 28 to 507 of the family's 1533-position model. The record is from RNAcentral.